GUGACCGGCUAGGAGAGGACAC
This 22-nucleotide microRNA is filed under the name Macaca mulatta (Rhesus monkey). RNAcentral's name for it is "Mml-Novel-15_3p* (star (passenger))". Lineage: Eukaryota; Metazoa; Chordata; Mammalia; Primates; Cercopithecidae. The record is from RNAcentral.